This 345-nucleotide unclassified non-coding RNA is filed under the name soil metagenome. RNAcentral describes it as "partial contains 5.8S ribosomal RNA, internal transcribed spacer 2, and large subunit ribosomal RNA". The stretch from base 1 to 120 matches the Rfam family "5.8S ribosomal RNA", at positions 35 to 154 of the family's 154-position model. The record is from RNAcentral.
GAUGAAGAACGCAGCGAAAUGCGAUACGUAAUGUGAAUUGCAGAAUUCAGUGAAUCAUCGAGUCUUUGAACGCACAUUGCGCCCCCUGGUAUUCCGGGGGGCAUGCCUGUCCGAGCGUCAUUGCUGCCCUCAAGCACGGCUUGUGUGUUGGGCCUCCGUCCUCCUCCCGAGGGACGGGCCCGAAAGGCAGCGGCGGCACCGCGUCCGGUCCUCGAGCGUAUGGGGCUUCGUCACCCGCUCUUGUAGGCCCGGCCGGCGCUUGCCGACACAUCAAUCUUUUUUCCAGGUUGACCUCGGAUCAGGUAGGGAUACCCGCUGAACUUAAGCAUAUCAAUAAGCGGAGGA